GGCUAAUCCUGUAAGCCUCAAAUCUCCACCUUAUCUCUCAAUCUCAUGUCUAAAGUCCGAACACUCACUAGCCAACAAGCCUUCAACCUUUGGCUCUCUUCUCAAUCUUCACGCCAUUUUGCUUUCACUUGUUGUGUAAGUAUCAUUUGCAUCUUCUAUCUUAUUGAGGAGGCUAAAAUCUAUCCAUCUUUGAAAUAUUUGAAACUUCGGCUCUGUUUGGAAGCCAGGAAAACAUUUUCCCGAAAAUUUUUUCUUGGUUUUACAGUGUUUGGAUAAAAUAUUUUCCAAAACAAGGCUAAAAUCUCAUUCAUUUUAGGGAAAAUGUCUUACGAAAUUUUUUUCUGUAAGACAUUUUCCAACUCUCACCGGGUUACUUUCUCCUUCUUUCUUCCGUUCUUCAUCCCUUCUCCUUCUUCAUCAGGUAACUUUCCUCCUUCUACUUCUUCCUUUCUUCAUCUUUUAUAAUCUCUUCCGUUUUUCCUAAGCUGUGUCCGUCGCAUAUCUUCUCUUGGCUUAAGGUAUGGCAUCUUCUUUAUCUUCUUUAUCAUUUUCGUUUCUUCUUGUUCUUGAAAAACUGCUUAAGGUAUGCCAUCAUUUUGGUUCUGUAUUUUUAUGCUGUCGAAUACCCAUUUGUUUUUUGUGCUGAAUUAGUGGUGGGUUUUACCAAAUAUGCUUUUAAUUAAACUUAUAAAACAUCAAAUAUGCUUACCCCUAACCGUCAGUCAUAAUCUGCAGUCAUACUCAUAUUUGAUGAUGCAGUACAAUUGUUAGAUGCGGAAUGUUUGUGUUGUAUUAUCAAGUUUCAGUUUGCAGUAAAGGUUAAUUUUGGUAUCACCUCUUUUGUGCAUGACUUUGGUAUUCCCUCUUUGGGCAGAAUUAAAUAUAUAUGCUGCCUAGGGGCUCUGCAUGUUCACAAAUUUGAAACCUUGCUGAAAUAUUUUAUUUACAUCUCAAUCACUUUUUCCAACUUCAUAAUCUUGUGUGAUUUGCUCUGCUCAUGAUGCCCUUUCAUUAACCUAGUUAAAAAUGGAAGUUGGAGAGUUUUGCUUGCAGAUACACGAACAAUAGCUCAGACUCUUCGAGUUGACGUGUUGCAUAGUUUUAUAUUAUCGUUGGUAUAUUAUGACAUGUGGUUCAUUUCUCCAGAGCAAUGUGAGAGGGAUAAAGCUCGAGUCCUUGUUCACUGCAUGUCAGGAAAAAAUAGGAUUUUGCAUAUAAACUACGAUGGAAGAACCUAGUUGGACCUCACCCCUGAAUCUUUCUCUAUAAGAUGCCUUACACCCAGGUCACCAGCUAUUGUAGUAGCUUUCUUGAUGAAAUCUAAAGGAUGGAGGCUUCCACAAAGCUACCAGUGGGUGAAAGAACGGAGACCAUCUGUUGAUAUAAGUCAAGUCUGGAUUGAGAUCAAAUACAACAUAGUCAGGUCGGACAUCAACUGCAAGCUCUUCAGUGAAGUUGAAAUCACCAAAUAGGAAACCCAAACUGGUGGAGAUCCUGUAAGCACACAAGAAUCAGUUGCAAAUUAGAAGCAAGCGAAGAGCUUCGGUAUUUUGUUAGUUUGAUAUUGGAUAUUUGAUUUGGUUGGUAUUAGUACAGAGUUUGUGCUGGUAUAGCCACUGUUUUGUUAGUUUGAUAUUGGAUAUUGGAUAUUUUGGUGUUGGUUGAUAUUGCUAUAGGCACUUUGUUAUUGUUGGGUUCUUUUUGCUUGUGCAAAUGUUGGAUGGGUUGAUAAAGGCCUACAAUAUUUCCACUCAAUAAAAGACAUACAAGGAUUAAUCCA
Gossypium arboreum is the source of this 1780-nucleotide RNA transcript. RefSeq lists it as uncharacterized. The record is from RefSeq and is a predicted model, not a curated record. NCBI's taxonomy places the organism in Eukaryota, Viridiplantae, Streptophyta, Magnoliopsida, Malvales, Malvaceae. The transcript has 4 exons.